GGUUAUUGGAUUUUAAGACAUACAUCAUUGUGAUAGAUAGCUCCCUCAUCCUGUCAAAUACUCCAAGGAUUUCAAGAGCCUCAGAUUUCCUUCAAUCAGUCAUUCAAAUUUUGAGUUCAAUGUGAAAUAUUUUGUAGUUUUAGCUUUUGGUAUUAGCUUUGAAAUAAGUUAAGGGUCACUUGAUUUGGAUAAAAAAAAAUAUUUUGAUGGAAUGUUGAGUGUGCAGGGGUUGGCU
This 235-nucleotide long non-coding RNA is filed under the name Physcomitrium patens. Its description in RNAcentral is "long non-coding RNA (PPAT_LNC006752)". Lineage: Eukaryota; Viridiplantae; Streptophyta; Bryopsida; Funariales; Funariaceae. The record is from RNAcentral.